UACGUAGGGCGCAAGCGUUGUCCGGAAUUAUUGGGCGUAAAGAGCUCGUAGGCGGCUUCUUAAGUCUGGUGUGAAAUCUCCCGGCUCAACUGGGAGGGUGCGCCGGAUACUGAGGGGCUAGAGUGUGGGAGAGGAAAGUGGAAUUCCUGGUGUAGCGGUGAAAUGCGUAGAUAUCAGGAGGAACACCGGUGGUGUAAACGGCUUUCUGGACCAUAACUGACGCUGAGGCACGAAAGCGUGGGUAGCAAACAGG
RNAcentral lists this ribosomal RNA (253 nucleotides) under uncultured bacterium. RNAcentral describes it as "partial 16S ribosomal RNA". It matches the Rfam family "Bacterial small subunit ribosomal RNA", at positions 524 to 776 of the family's 1533-position model. The record is from RNAcentral.